GGCCACCUUCGGGGGGCUUUACCGAAGGCGAUAAAACCGCCGACACAGCAAACGGAAGACAGAAA
The submitters of this non-coding RNA (65 nucleotides) gave its source as unclassified sequences. The record is from Rfam.